RNAcentral lists this ribosomal RNA (1247 nucleotides) under Tasgius compressus. RNAcentral's name for it is "16S ribosomal RNA". The stretch from base 589 to 1247 matches the Rfam family "Archaeal large subunit ribosomal RNA", at positions 1423 to 2770 of the family's 2987-position model. Lineage: Eukaryota; Metazoa; Arthropoda; Insecta; Coleoptera; Staphylinidae. The record is from RNAcentral.
AAAAAAUUAUUAUCCUUAAUUUAAAUAAAGUAUUUUUGUUUUUAUUAUUGUUAUAUAAAAAAUUAAAUUUAUUAUAGUUAAUUAGUAUUGUAGAUUAAAUUUAAAAUAGUUUGAUAAUUUAAAUUUUUAAAAGAAAAAUUAAUUUUUGUACCUUGGGUAUCAGGGUUUAUCAAAUAGAUAUUAUGAAUAUAAUUUUCUCGAUUUUAAAAGAGUUAAAAAAUUAUAGAUUUUAUUGUUUAAUAAAUAUUUAAAAUAAUUUUUUUGUAAUGAAACGUUAAUCGUUUUUAAAUAUAUCUAGUUUUUGAAGAAAAAAAUUUAAUUUUAUGUUUUAAAUAUAUCCUAUUAAUUUUUAAGUAGGAUUUUUUAUGACUUAAAUAUCUUAGGGGAUAAGCUUUAAGAUAAAUAUAUAUAAUUUGAUUUUUUAAAAUAAAAUUGUAGGAUUAGAAAUUUUCAUCAAUUUAGUUUGUUAUAAUUAAUUUUUUAAGGAAUAUGAUUUUUAUUGAAUUUAUUUAUUUAUUCAAAUUAAUUAAUUAAUAAUUAAUUAAUUAAAAUAAUGAUAAAAUUAGUAUAAUUUUAUUUAAUAUUAUUUAUAUAAUUUAAGGUAAAUUAAAGGAAUUCGGCAAAAUAUUUCUCGCCUGUUUAUUAAAAACAUGUCUUUUUGAUUUUAAUCUAAAGUCUAACCUGCCCAUUGAAUUUUAAAAGGCCGCAGUAUUUUGACUGUGCGAAGGUAGCAUAAUAAUUAGUUUUUUAAUUGAGAGCUGGAAUGAAUGGUUGAACGAGGAAAUAACUGUCUCUAUUUUAAUAAAUUAGAAUUUUAUUUUUAAGUUAAAAAGCUUAAAUACAUUUAAAAGACGAGAAGACCCUAUAGAGUUUAAUAAGAUGGUUUUUUUAAAAUUUUUAAUAUUUAAUAUUUUAAGAAUUUUGUUUUAUUUUGUUGGGGUGAUGGAAAAAUUUAAUUAACUUUUUUUUUAUUUAAUCACUUAUAAGUGAAUUAUUGAUCCAUUAUUUAUGAUUAUAAGAUUAAAUUACCUUAGGGAUAACAGCGUAAUUUCUUUAAAGAGUUCUAAUCGAAAAAGAAGUUUGCGACCUCGAUGUUGGAUUAAAAUUAAUUUUUGGUGUAGAAGCUAAAAAUUUUAGGUCUGUUCGACCUUUAAAAUUUUACAUGAUCUGAGUUUAAACCGGUGUAAGCCAGGUUGGUUUCUAUCUUUAAAUUAAAAUGAUAUUUUAGUACGAAAGGACCAAAUAUC